Molecule: long non-coding RNA, 359 nt
Filed under: Mytilus galloprovincialis (Mediterranean mussel)
Lineage: Eukaryota; Metazoa; Mollusca; Bivalvia; Mytilida; Mytilidae
Source: RNAcentral
UAAAAAUCAUAAAUUAAUUUCUUUUGAAAAAAAAUAAACAGUAAUUAAUUUGAUCUUUUUUUCAUUUACAAAAGUUUUGAGUUCCAAUUUUUACAGAAACUUUGAUCUAUUUGUUCCCCGUUAUUUUUUUAAGUAGACUUGAUCGCCAUUCCCCCCGUUAUUUUUUGAAGAAGACUUGAUCGCCAUUCCCCCCGUUAUUUUUUGAAGAAGACUUGAUCGCCAUUCCUCCCGUUAUUUUUUGAAGUAGAUUUGAUCGCCAUUUUACACUUGACAGGAAAUGUUAUGUAAACUGAUCGGACAAACUAUUACUACAUCAAAUAACAUUAUACUUUUUGUUGACAAAACUUUAAAUUGGGCCG